GCGGGAUACGUCCCGCAGGAAUGUGGCCCCUUCAAAGGCUGAACCGUGAA
This 50-nucleotide non-coding RNA is filed under the name unclassified sequences. RNAcentral describes it as "eL15-Euryarchaeota ribosomal protein leader". It matches the Rfam family "eL15-Euryarchaeota ribosomal protein leader". The record is from RNAcentral.